RNAcentral lists this ribosomal RNA (1038 nucleotides) under Mucor hiemalis f. hiemalis. Its description in RNAcentral is "LSU rRNA". It matches the Rfam family "Eukaryotic large subunit ribosomal RNA", at positions 38 to 965 of the family's 3401-position model. The record is from RNAcentral. Lineage: Eukaryota; Fungi; Mucoromycota; Mucoromycetes; Mucorales; Mucoraceae.
GCAUAUCAAAUAAGCCGGAGGGAAAAAGAAAAAUAAACAAUGAUUUCCCCUAGUAAACGGCGAGUGAAGAAGGAAAAGAGCUCAAAAGUUGGAACCUAUUUUGGCUUAGCUAAAUCGGAUUGUAAACUGUAGAAGUGUUUUUCCAGACACGCCUGGUAAAAAAAGUCCUUUGGAACAGGGGCAUCAUAGAGGGUGAGAAUCCCGUCAUUGGCCAGAGCUGUUGUCUUUUGUGAUACAUUUUCAAAGAGUCAGGUUGUUUGGGAAUGCAGCCUAAAUUGGGUGGUAAAUCUCACCUAAAGCUAAAUAUUUGCGAGAGACCGAUAGCGAACAAGUACCGUGAGGGAAAGAUGAAAAGAACUUUGAAAAGAGAGUUAAACAGUAUGUGAAAUUGUUAAAAGGGAACCGUUUGGAGCCAGACUGGCUUAAUCGUAAUCAAUCUAGGCUUUGGCCUGGAUGCACUUGCGGUUUAUGCCGGCCAACGACAGUUUUGUUUGGGAGAAAAAAUUACAUUGAAUGUGGCCCCUCGGGGUGUUAUAGCUUUGUAAAAAAUAUCCUGGACUGGACUGAGGAACGCAGUGAAUGCCUUUAGGCAAGAUUGCUGGGUGCUUUCGCUAAUACAUGCUAGAAUUUCUGCUUCGGGUGGUGCUAGUGUUUAAAGGAGGAACUCGCCUGGUAUAUUUUUUAUUCGCUUAGGUUGUUGGCUUAAUGACUCUAAAUGACCCGUCUUGAAACACGGACCAAGGAGUCCACCAUAAGUGCGAGUAUUUGGGUGACAAACCCAUAUGCGCAAGGAAACUGAUUGAUACGAAGGCUUUAAGCUGGCAGUAUCACCCGGCGUUGACGUUUUUAUACUGAACUGACCGAGGUAAAGCACUUAUGAUGGGACCCGAAAGAUGGUGAACUAUGCCUGAAUAGGGUGAAGCCGGAGGAAACUCCGGUGGAGGCUCGUAGCGAUUCUGACGUGCAAAUCGAUCGUCAAAUUUGGGUAUAGGGGGCGAAAGACUAAUCGAAACCAUCUAGUAGCUGGGUUCUGGCGAG